This 200-nucleotide long non-coding RNA is filed under the name Gossypium barbadense (sea-island cotton). Its description in RNAcentral is "long non-coding RNA (GBAR_LNC002381)". The record is from RNAcentral. Lineage: Eukaryota; Viridiplantae; Streptophyta; Magnoliopsida; Malvales; Malvaceae.
AUUAUGCUAAAUGGUUGUUUAAUUGUUUCGUAAGUCUAGUAAUGCUCCGUAACCCUAUUCCGGUGUUAAAUAUAGGUGAGGGGUGUUACAUUUAUUGGUAUCAAAGCUAAGGUUUAGUCGAUUCUAGGAUUAACGUAUCGUGUGUGUGAGUCUAGCUAUACAUGCCAUAUAUAAACUGUGAUAGUAUGAUGACUCCUAAC